This is a long non-coding RNA of Passer montanus (Eurasian tree sparrow), 2207 nucleotides long. RefSeq lists it as uncharacterized. Lineage: Eukaryota; Metazoa; Chordata; Aves; Passeriformes; Passeridae. The record is from RefSeq and is a predicted model, not a curated record. The transcript is spliced from 5 exons.
UUUUAGAAGCCCAUAAGUCAUACUUGUUAAACUUUCUCAGUUAAAAUGUAACUCUAAGAACAAAGUCAUAUGAUAUGUUGCAGUCAAAUAAUCCUUCCAGAGCCUCUGACUGGAGAAAAGCUACCCCGAUCUGGCCGGCUCGCCAACCCACCGGGCUCCUGUCCCAGGAGAGGCAGGGCUGAGGGGCAGGUUCGCAGCCCGGGGCUCAGCUGUGCAGCCCGCAUGGGCGAUGGCUUCCCAGUGGACUUCAGCAAUGUCUCCCUGCUUUUGCCGGUGCGGUCAGGCGAAAAUUUCAGCUCCUCCUCUAGGAGGACUUCAGGCAAGAGGCUGAGCAGGGGAGGCAGCGAGGGGAGGCAGCGCAGAGGGUUUGGUGGUGGAGGAAGGUGCUGCUGCGGUCAGGGUGAAGGAGCUGAGGGGUGAGAAAACAGCAGGUUGCCAAAAGCGAAAGUGAAUUUGCUGGAGGGUUUGAAGAAAGGACAUCCUCAUUCUCAUUCACUGCCUUUUUAAGUGUUGAAUCAAUAUGGAAGUACAUUCAUGCCAGGAGCAAUACGUUUGCCAGUUUUGCUCUAUUUUAUAGGGUGAUUUUGCUUACACCACGCCCCAGAUGACUGUUUUGAAGUGCCAUCCCUUGUCCAGGGUCUGCUCUGAGCCCUUACAAAGACCAGGUUCCCAGUCACUGCUGGGAGGAUCAUUCUAAAUUUACCCUUGGCAGUAGCCAAGAGUGGGAUCUGGCUGAUGGCCGUGGUGCUCCAGCCUGCCUGUGCUGGCAGUCCCAGCCUGGGCCGCUGUGACCUGCUGCCGGCUUGGGAAGGCAGGGAGUCCCGGUGUCCCCAGGGCUGCCUUGGGCAGCCCCUGUGCCUGGAGCGUGCAUGGCCGGCAGGGUGCGAGGGACUGGAGCAGGCACAGAGGCAGUGUCCAAGCUGACUGAAAUGCAAAAUGAAAGCAACUGUGCAGCAUAAAUCAGAUGCUGGAAGUCCUUUGCAUGAUCUACACCCAGUGUCACCUCCACAGCUCCUGGACUCCAUGCUGAGGUGGCCAACAGGAUGUGAAGCUGCCCCAACCCACCACUUCAGACCUUGGAAGAACAAAUUUCAAACCAAGAAAUGGCCUGCAAACAUCCUGAGCCAGCCAGUGCUCUUUUAGAUGAGAGCUCACCACUGCCAAGGGCAUUCCAGUACACAGGACAUGGACUGUCUACUCUGAUGACUUCUGAGGGAGAACAGGGCUUCUUGCAAAGACCCUUACACUGCAAGGCGACUCCAACAGGGAUGAGCAUAUUGCCAUGGCAACCAAAAUACAGAAGCUGGACAAGGGUGUACAGUAGACAAGAGGAUGGAGGGAAGAUUUCCUUCUCGUUUUCCACACGUGGGCCGGCAUGGCACAGGUGCUGCAUGCAGGACACAAAGGCUGAGGCCAGCUUUGUGAGUGACCAUCAAUACUGGAGCACUGGUGGAAAGCACAGCUCAAAGGAGAGAGCCAGCACCAGCAUGGGGUUCCAGGAGAGAAGCACAUGCUCCUGCAGGGCAAGUUUCUUUGCCCAGGCUGAUGGGGUAGGUUGGGUCUCUCAUCUUGUUUUUUUUUGUUUGCAAUAUUAGAGUCAGUGAAAAGGGAAUCUUCCAGCACCUUUGGAAGCCUCUGCAGACCCUUCAUCACCAAGGCUUUGCCAGGAGGUCAAUAUGCUCUCAAAUGACUAAAAUCCAGGCUUGGGAUAUGGCUGGAGCAGCCCUGACCCUCCCCCUCCAGGAGCAGCUGCUACUGCACAUCAGGAGAGAGGAAGUUAGCGGGGAAACAUCGUGAAACUUCUGAAGGUGCUAAUUAAACAACUUUAAGUUAUAAACAUUUUUAAUUGGACUCAUUUUUGGUGUCACAUACUAUCUCUUGAUGAGACAAGAGCUAAAGCUAAAAUUAAAGCUGUUUUAAUCUCUCUUUCUCUGCUCCUCCUCUCUACCCUGGUUGUGUUUCUGGUUGCAAAGUAGAAAGAAAUCACUGAGGCUUCUGGGCUUUGCUGAAGAAUGCUAUUUUUAAGGUGUUAUAUUUGAUUUACUUUAAAUCUGACCAAAAAUUCCACCUUGGGACUAAACCUCCUUUAUCAAUGUUAUAGCUAACUUUCUGCUUUUGCAUGCAGAUUUUUAAGGAGGAAAAAAAAAUUGGGCUUGGAAGAGAUGCUAGCUCACCACCUUAAUGAUGACAGCAGGUAUACUGCAGCA